RNAcentral lists this ribosomal RNA (253 nucleotides) under uncultured bacterium. RNAcentral's name for it is "partial 16S ribosomal RNA". It matches the Rfam family "Bacterial small subunit ribosomal RNA", at positions 524 to 776 of the family's 1533-position model. The record is from RNAcentral.
UACGUAGGGGGCAAGCGUUGUCCGGAUUUCUUGGGCGUAAAGCGCUCGCAGGCGGUCCCGUGCGUCGUGCGUGAAAGGCCCCGGCUCAACCGGGGGCGGUCGUGCGAUACGGCGGGACUGGAGGGCAGUAGGGGGACGCGGAAUUCCUGGUGUAGCGGUGAAAUGCGCAGAUAUCAGGAAGAACACCAAUGGCGAAGGCAGCUCUCUGGGACGGUACUGACACUGAGACGCGAAAGCGUGGGGAGCGAACAGG